CUUCCCCAUGAUGUGUUUAAAGAUAACCAUUUGGCCCUUUGUUUCCUUGAAGGAACAGGGUAUAAGUAUUCACUGUCUCCGUCAUUUGUCGGUUCUGUGUUUAUCUGUACUUGGGUAACAGACCCACUAGUUCCUUUGCUACAUUAAACAACCUAUUUUGAAACGAAGACGUGCCUGCAUUUAUUUUUCUACUUACAAAAGUACGGCGGAACAAAUCGAACUCUUAAAAAUUCCACAUUAUUGGCGAGCCAGCCCAAAUCCGUCGUUCUUGUUGCGUUUUUCAAAAAAAAAAAAAAAAAAAAAAACUGGGGAGGCUGACAUUCGCGUGUGACACUGGCCUACAGAAGAGACUUUCUUUUUUACGUUGACGCCGAAUUCAAGAAAGGAUUACAGUAAGAGGACUGUUUUGGAAGCCAUUUGCCAACACUGAAGGAAAAACGGACUUGAAGGCACGGAACGGACCACGUACAUUUAAUUAAUCGUGAUGAGGAUGAGGCUCCUGGUAUUCAGGAACAGGUUGGAGGUCAGCACUAAGUGGGAUGUUUCUGUCAUAUUCAUAAACGACACACAAUGUGUCAAGGACAAUACACGCAGUUGCAGUUGGAUUCACCAAAUGGACAUCAGACAGGUGGAAAGACAAUGAAGCAUUGACAACAGAGAUCACAUGGAAUGUGUCAAGCAAAUCUUCAUAUAGAGCACAUAUGAUUGAGAGUGGAAGACAGUUUCCAAGAAUACAAGAAUUCAUUGUGACAGUAAAAGCACGUAAUUGGACACAUUAUGAUAAGGCAAUAACUAGUUGAGAUGAGGGACAGGAUAACCAGGGGAGAUGGGCCAUGGAGCAUGGAUCUACAUAUUACCCUGGUCUAACAAUAAUGCAUCUAAAUUUAUACGGUUAAAAAUAAAUAAAUAAAUAAAUAAUAAUACAUAUAUGUAUGAAGUUACAUUUGAGAAUAGACAAUGCCAACCUCUAAAGGAAUGGGAAGACUCAAGCAGUUGGACUGAAGCAAAUGUCCUCCACUGCACCCUAUUCCUAGAGAAGGCAUCAUUUUUGGACCAGAAGGAAAAAGAAAAAAAAAGGGUUUAUAAUAUGAUGUAAAUACGGUAUUCAUGCAUGCUGUUUAUGAUUGAGCUAACAUCAUUGUCAUGUUUGAUCAGUAUUGUUUAAGGUUUGAACUGGUAAGGGAAUGGCUGAAUCAAACAUUCUUACAGAUUACUACAUUCAUACAUGUUAUGCAUGAAAGUCAUGCAAUAAAUUGUAUCUAUUAACUCUAAUGAACUGUCCCCAGAGAGGAAUGUGCACCCUUUAGAGGAAGUGGAGAGGGUGGUGGACCAGUGUCACUGGUGUAUUCUGAGUCACCCCACAGGACUUCCAUAUGGUAAUAUAAGGUGUUAAUCACCCCCCUGGUUUCUGGUUUACACCAGCAUACACUGUUCAGAUGGGGAACAUUUGUUUACCUACUACUGAUGCCAGUGAGUCCAACAGCUUGGCCACGUGGGAUGAUGCCUACCUGGUUCCUUAGUCAAAUGUGUUUGCAGGUAUUCAUGCUCAGGUGAAGAAAGCUCUAAUGGAGAGUGAUUCAACACUACUCAAAACAAAAAUGGAGGUGAGCUUGGCCCAGGCAGAGGCCACAGUCCUGAAGCGACAAGGAUGCUCUGAUGAGAACACAUUUUUGGAACCGGAUAUUCCUGGCUAUUGUAGGUCUAAUAGUAAUUCGUAUCCUCAAUGGUCAAACACAGUGUUAUUGCUGGCGCAAACAGAAAAAAAAAACAGUUGGAGAAAGUCAUUGAUAGAAAUGAAACUGUGGGAUGGCUCAGAAAUAACCCCUGAAUAAUUUGUGUGCUUUUGUUUUAAUUUUUAUGUUUUAUUUUUGCUUCAUAUUCUUUUCUAUACAUAUACCUUCGAUUAUAGAAGACUUUCUUAUAAAAAAUUUAAAAAAAGUAGGGAAUGUUGGAAAACAUGGGAGCCACAGUUCUACCCUUCUGAGGUGUCUCACAUAGUAGUGGGACAGCUGCAGAUAGGAUUGAUUGUUUACCACCACACUCAGUUAAAUUGACCUUUUAUCACACCCUUUGUGCUACAUCCUCUCCCUUUGGUAUGCAGUAUCAUCUACCCCCUACUUCAGUCCAACUUCCCCACACCUUGUUUCUUCCCCCCCCCAAUGUCUGAUUACCUCGCCCCCCCCUUCCCCAUUCACACCCUUUGUGCUACAUCCUCUCCCUUUGGUAUGCAGUAUCCUCUACCCCCUACUUUAGUCCAACUUCCCCACACCUUGUUUCUUCCCCCCCCAAAGUCUGAUUACCUCGCCCCCCCCCUUCCCCAUUCACACCCUUUGUGCUACAUCCUCUCCCUUUGGUAUGCAGUAUCCUCUACCCCCUACUUUAGUCCAACUUCCCCACACCUUGUUUCUUCCCCCCCCCAAUGUCUGAUUACCUCGCCCCCCCCCUUCCCCAUGAUGUGUUUAAAGAUAACCAUUUGGCCCUUUGUUUCCUUGAAGGAACAGGGCAUAAGUAUUCACUGUCUCCGUCAUUUGUCGGUUCUGUGUUUAUCUGUACUUGGGUAACAGACCCACUAGUUCCUUUGCUACAUUAAACAACCUAUUUUGAAACGAA
Long non-coding RNA from Anguilla rostrata (American eel), 2610 nucleotides. RefSeq lists it as uncharacterized. The transcript is spliced from 2 exons. Lineage: Eukaryota; Metazoa; Chordata; Actinopteri; Anguilliformes; Anguillidae. The record is from RefSeq and is a predicted model, not a curated record.